ACUUCCGGUUUGAGCGCUGAGGAGACUGCUGUUGGAGCGCUCCGAGCCCGGCCGGAACCAUGGUGAGGAGCGGGCGGGCCGCGGGCGCGCAGGGCGCAGGCCCCGCGGGGUGUCACGGUGCUGCCGGAGAGCAGAGGUGGCUGCAGGGAGCGGAGCCGCCGCAUGCCCCGGGGGGGUGUUUGGGGUGUUCCGUGCGUGCUGAGCCGCUGCUUUGCUUCCCAGCCCCGCAAGAUUGAGGAGAUCAAGGACUUCCUGCUCACAGCCAGGAGGAAGGACGCCAAGUGUGAGUGUGGGGCUGCUGGAGCCCCCCGGGGGGGACCCGGUGUCCCGGCGGAGCUCCUGGGGCUGGGGGCGCUGCGGGACGCCCGGUGCCGGGUGCAGUGACGGUGGUUUGAAGCGGUUUGCUCGGUGUUGGCGUGUGCCUGAGGCCGCGCUGGGCAGGGGGAUGCUGUGGGGCAGGACUCGGGUUCUCCAGGCCUGGCUGAUCACCCCGGGGGGGUUCAGCCAAGCCCCAGCUUGGAAGCUGGUUUCCAGCCGCUCCAUCCCUGGCUCGCUGCAGCCUUCGCAGCCCGCAGGGUGCCAGGCGCUCGCGGCUCUGCCACAGCGACAAGGGGAUCCUGCUCGAACCUGGCCUUCCUUGUCUUGCACGUACAGAGGUGGUGAUGGCUGAAGCUCUGACACUGCCUCAGCUCAGCACUUAACCGCGUGUGACGAGGUUUCCCUCUUCUCUCGCCUGUUUGGAUCCGACUGGCACACGGAAGAGUCACCUUCAUGCUUAAAUCCUUUUGUUAACCCACCAACGUGGCUGAGAGGAGAGUUCCACACUGAAACGCUGAGGGAGCUGCUGGCAGCCCCUCACAGAGCGUUCCUGUGCUGUUCCACUUGGAUUUCCCAGCGGCUCCAGCCGAGUGGCUCGGAUAAACUGGCUUUUGGGGAGCUCUGUGCGUGGAGCUGGGGAGCUGCAGUGUGGAAACGGGCAAUGGAGUCAGGGUUUCAUGUUGGUGGUUGUAAAACCAGCCUCAAAAUGAAGCCGUCGGCGCCGAGGAGGCUGGGGCUGAGCCCUUGGCUGUUCACCUCCUUGUUGGUGCAGCAAAACCCACUUAAUUUGGGGGUUUCACAGUGCAGGGGGCCAGGGGGAGCUGGGCUGGGGUGGCUCCGUCCUGCUGAGCUCUUCUGACCCUGCAGCCGUCAAGAUCAAGAAGAACAAGGACAACGUGAAGUUCAAGGUGCGCUGCAGCCGGUAUCUCUACACCCUGGUCAUCACCGACAAGGAGAAGGCCGAGAAGCUGAAGCAGUCGCUGCCGCCAGGUACCUCCCGGUGUCCCGGGGGAAGGUGUGGCACCAGGAGCCCUCUCCCGGGCUGUGUCCCUGCUCCGGGAGCCGUUUCUCACCCGCACUUUCUCUCCUCCGCAGGUUUGGCCGUUAAGGAGCUGAAAUGAGCCGAGAAAUGGGACGUUUCAGUGUUUGUUACAAUAAAUAAACCCGACUGUU
This 1491-nucleotide long non-coding RNA is filed under the name Strigops habroptila (Kakapo). RNAcentral's name for it is "lncRNA (ENSSHBG00005014795.1)". The record is from RNAcentral. Lineage: Eukaryota; Metazoa; Chordata; Aves; Psittaciformes; Psittacidae.